AAAUCCGGUUCACUUUAACACUGAGGCGUGAUGACGAGGCACUACGGUGCUGAAGUAACAAAUGCCCUGCUUCCAGGAAAAGCCUCUAAGCAUCAGGUAACAUCAAAUCGUACCCCAAACCGACACAGGUGGUCAGGUAGAGAAUACCAAGGCGCUUGAGAGAACUCGGGUGAAGGAACUAGGCAAAAUGGUGCCGUAACUUCGGGAGAAGGCACGCUGACACGUAGGUGAAGUGAUUUACUCACGGAGCUGAAGUCAGUCGAAGAUACCAGCUGGCUGCAACUGUUUAUUAAAAACACAGCACUGUGCAAACACGAAAGUGGACGUAUACGGUGUGACGCCUGCCCGGUGCCGGAAGGUUAAUUGAUGGGGUCAGCGCAAGCGAAGCUCCUGAUCGAAGCCCCGGUAAACGGCGGCCGUAACUAUAACGGUCCUAAGGUAGCGAAAUUCCUUGUCGGGUAAGUUCCGACCUGCACGAAUGGCGUAAUGAUGGCCAGGCUGUCUCCACCCGAGACUCAGUGAAAUUGAACUCGCUGUGAAGAUGCAGUGUACCCGCGGCAAGACGGAAAGACCCCGUGAACCUUUACUAUAGCUUGACACUGAACAUUGAGCCUUGAUGUGUAGGAUAGGUGGGAGGCUUUGAAGUGUGGACGCCAGUCUGCAUGGAGCCGACCUUGAAAUACCACCCUUUAAUGUUUGAUGUUCUAACGUGGACCCGUUACCCGGGUUGCGGACAGUGUCUGGUGGGUAGUUUGACUGGGGCGGUCUCCUCCUAAAGAGUAACGGAGGAGCACGAAGGUUGGCUAAUCCUGGUCGGACAUCAGGAGGUUAGUGCAAUGGCAUAAGCCAGCUUGACUGCGAGCGUGACGGCGCGAGCAGGUGCGAAAGCAGGUCAUAGUGAUCCGGUGGUUCUGAAUGGAAGGGCCAUCGCUCAACGGAUAAAAGGUACUCCGGGGAUAACAGGCUGAUACCGCCCAAGAGUUCAUAUCGACGGCGGUGUUUGGCACCUCGAUGUCGGCUCAUCACAUCCUGGGGCUGAAGUAGGUCCCAAGGGUAUGGCUGUUCGCCAUUUAAAGUGGUACGCGAGCUGGGUUUAGAACGUCGUGAGACAGUUCGGUCCCUAUCUGCCGUGGGCGCUGGAGAACUGAGGGGGGCUGCUCCUAGUACGAGAGGACCGGAGUGGACGCAUCACUGGUGUUCGGGUUGUCAUGCCAAUGGCACUGCCCGGUAGCUAAAUGCGGAAGAGAUAAGUGCUGAAAGCAUCUAAGCACGAAACUUGCCCCGAGAUGAGUUCUCCCUGAGACUUUAGGUCUCCUGAAGGAACGUUGAAGACGACGACGUUGAUAGGCCGGGUGUGUAAGCGCAGCGAUGCGUUGAGCUAACCGGUACUAAUGAACCGUGAGGCUUAACCUUACAACGCCG
This 1422-nucleotide ribosomal RNA is filed under the name Salmonella enterica. RNAcentral's name for it is "partial 23S ribosomal RNA". It matches the Rfam family "Bacterial large subunit ribosomal RNA", at positions 1538 to 2925 of the family's 2925-position model. The record is from RNAcentral. Lineage: Bacteria; Pseudomonadati; Pseudomonadota; Gammaproteobacteria; Enterobacterales; Enterobacteriaceae.